CUGAAGGAGAUUAAAGACAUCUCAUUUUACUCUGCCACUACAGAUAUGUGGUCAAGCUCAAAUAUGACCCCAUACAUGAGCUUUACAAUACAUUACAUUAACUGGACGCUGCAAUCAAAAUGUUUAGAGACCAGAUUUGUGCCGGAGAACCAUACUGCUGAUGUCCUUACAGAAGCCCUUCAGUCUGCUUUAGCAGCCUGGGGUUUGGAUGAACAUAAGAAGGCCUGUAUAACCACAGACAAUGGUCAUAAUAUUGUGGCAGCUGUACACAGUCUUGGCUGGCCAUGGCUCAAUUGCUUUGGCCACAACCUCCAUUUGGCCGUUUGUCAUGGUUUGGACAGUGACAAGGAUCGCACCGCACAUGCCAUGGGAGUCUGCAGAAAUCUGGUCAAGACCUUCAAUUUAAGCUGGCUAAAGAAGAAAGACCUGAGGAAGGCACAGACUGAAGCCAGUCUACCUCAACACGGUCUAGUACUGGAUGUUGCUACAAGAUGGGGCAGCAAGCAAAAGAUGAUAGACAGGGUGCUAGAGCAACUGCCAACCAUAAGACGAGUCUUGGUUGAAGACCGGAAGCAUGGCCAUCUCAACCCAACCUGACAGGAUGUGUCUGUGUUAGAAUCCAUUAAUGCAGCAAUGAAGCCAGUGGCUGAUUUCACAAACGUUCUCUCAGGGGAAAAAUAUGCCACUGUGUCCUCAGUAAAGCCUGUGUUGGAACUUCUCAAAGGUGAACUGUUAUCUCCAGACCCCAGCGACACUGAACUUACAGCAAAGAUAAAGGAAAACGUGCAGAGUACUGACAGAGAAAUACAGCCCUCCUGAAAUCCAAGACCUCCUGAGAAAAGCCACCAUCUUGGAUCCGAGGUAUCGUGGUAGCAUGAAGGGUGAAGAGGUCUUGGAUGAUGUCAAACAUCAGCUUGUGCAAGAGCUACUUGACAUGAAAGAAGAGGGACGAAGUGAAGAAAGUGCCAGUAGUGAAAACGAUGGAGAUGGUGGUUCUGAACAUGCAGCAUCCCAGAAGAAAAGGCUGAGUGACCUUCUUCAGAACAGAAGAGCGAAACUCACAAGUCUUCAGACGCAGACAGUAUCAGUACCGAAAAGAGUGCAGGCUGAUGCAGAGCUGACCAAAUUCAUCCAGGAAGAAGUUGUGGAUGCAACAUCUGAUCCUCUGAUGUGGUGGCGUGACAAUCACAGAAGAUUUCCUCUUAUAGGCAA
This is a long non-coding RNA of Pygocentrus nattereri (red-bellied piranha), 1212 nucleotides long. RefSeq lists it as uncharacterized. Lineage: Eukaryota; Metazoa; Chordata; Actinopteri; Characiformes; Serrasalmidae. The transcript is spliced from 2 exons. The record is from RefSeq and is a predicted model, not a curated record.